GAUGAACGCUGGCGGCGUGCCUAAUACAUGCUAGUCGAGCGAACAGACGAGGAGCUUGCUCCUCUGACGUUAGCGGCGGACGGGUGAGUAACACGUGGAUAACCUACCUAUAAGACUGGGAUAACUUCGGGAAACCGGAGCUAAUACCGGAUAAUAUAUUGAACCGCAUGGUUCAAUAGUGAAAGACGGUUUUGCUGUCACUUAUAGAUGGAUCCGCGCCGCAUUAGCUAGUUGGUAAGGUAACGGCUUACCAAGGCAACGAUGCGUAGCCGACCUGAGAGGGUGAUCGGCCACACUGGAACUGAGACACGGUCCAGACUCCUACGGGAGGCAGCAGUAGGGAAUCUUCCGCAAUGGGCAAAAGCCUGACGGAGCAACGCCGCGUGAGUGAUGAAGGUCUUCGGAUCGUAAAACUCUGUUAUUAGGGAAGAACAAAUGUGUAAGUAACUAUGCACGUCUUGACGGUACCUAAUCAGAAAGCCACGGCUAACUACGUG
This 497-nucleotide ribosomal RNA is filed under the name uncultured bacterium. RNAcentral describes it as "partial 16S ribosomal RNA". It matches the Rfam family "Bacterial small subunit ribosomal RNA", at positions 28 to 507 of the family's 1533-position model. The record is from RNAcentral.